Molecule: ribosomal RNA, 502 nt
Filed under: uncultured bacterium
Lineage: Bacteria
Description: bacterial SSU rRNA
Rfam family: Bacterial small subunit ribosomal RNA
Source: RNAcentral
UGAACGCUGGCGGCGUGCUUAACACAUGCAAGUCGCACGAGAACGCUUUAGCUUGCUAAAGCUAGUAAAGUGGCGCACGGGUGAGUAACGCGUGGGUAAUCUACCCCCGAAUUUGGGAUAACAUUGCGAAAGCGAUGCUAAUACCGGAUAAUAUCUUUCAAACUUCGGUUUUUGAGAUCAAAGGUGGCCUCUACAUGUAAGCUACUGUUUAGGGAUGAGCCCGCGUACCAUUAGCUAGUUGGUAGGGUAAAAGCCUACCAAGGCAACGAUGGUUAGCUGGUCUGAGAGGAUGAUCAGCCACACUGGAACUGACACACGGUCCAGACUCCUACGGGAGGCAGCAGUGAGGAAUUUUGCGCAAUGGGGGAAACCCUGACGCAGCAACGCCGCGUGAGUGAUGAAGGCUUUCGGGUCGUAAAACUCUGUCAAGUGGGAAGAACCUAUAAGGUGCCAAUACCACCUUGUACUGACGGUACCACUGAAGGAAGCACCGGCUAACUCC